GUCCCUACGGGGCGCAGCAGUGGGGAAUAUUGGGCAAUGGAGGAAACUCUUACCCAGCAAUGCCGCGUGAAUGAAGAAGGUCUUCGGAUUGUAAAGUUCUUUAAUUGGGGACGAAAAAAAUGACGGUACCCAAGGAAUAAGCCCCGGCUAACUACGUGCCAGCAGCCGCGGUAAUACGUAGGGGGCUAGCGUUAUCCGGAAUUACUGGGCGUAAAGGGUGCGUAGGUGGUUUCUUAAGUCAGAGGUGAAAGGCUACGGCUCAACCGUAGUAAGCCUUUGAAACUGGGGAACUUGAGUGCAGGAGG
RNAcentral lists this ribosomal RNA (305 nucleotides) under uncultured bacterium. RNAcentral describes it as "bacterial SSU rRNA". It matches the Rfam family "Bacterial small subunit ribosomal RNA", at positions 335 to 655 of the family's 1533-position model. The record is from RNAcentral.